RNAcentral lists this ribosomal RNA (441 nucleotides) under uncultured bacterium. Its description in RNAcentral is "bacterial SSU rRNA". It matches the Rfam family "Bacterial small subunit ribosomal RNA", at positions 68 to 520 of the family's 1533-position model. The record is from RNAcentral.
AAGGAAGUUUUCGGAUGGAAUUUAGGUAGACUUAGUGGCGGACGGGUGAGUAACGCGUGGAUAACCUGCCUUAUACAGGGGGAUAACGGAGAGAAAUUUCCGCUAAUACCGCAUAAGACCACAGCACCGCAUGGUGCAGGGGUAAAAUAUUUAUAGGUAUAAGAUGGAUCCGCGUCCGAUUAGCUAGUUGGUGAGGUAAAGGCCCACCAAGGCGACGAUCGGUAGCCGGCCUGAGAGGGUGAACGGCCACAUUGGGACUGAGACACGGCCCAAACUCCUACGGGAGGCAGCAGUGGGGAAUAUUGGACAAUGGGGGAAACCCUGAUCCAGCGACGCCGCGUGAGUGAAGAAGUAUUUCGGUAUGUAAAGCUCUAUCAGCAGGGAAGAAAAUGACGGUACCUGACUAAGAAGCCCCGGCUAACUACGUGCCAGCAGCCGCGG